GCCGAAGCUGCGGAUGUAUACUUUGUAUACGUGGUAGGGGAGCGUUCUGUAAGCCGAUGAAGGUGUGUUGAGAAGCAUGCUGGAGGUAUCAGAAGUGCGAAUGCUGACGUGAGUAACGACAAAACGGGUGAAAAACCCGUUCGCCGAAAGACCAAGGGUUCCAGUCCAACGUUAAUCGGGGCUGGGUGAGUCGACCCCUAAGGCGAGGCCGAAAGGCGUAGUCGAUGGGAAAAUGGUUAAUAUUCCAUUACUUCUGUGUAAUGCGAUGAGAGGACGGAGAAGGCUAAAUCAGCCUGGCGUUGGUUGUCCAGGUGAAAGGAUGUAGGCAUGUAUCUUAGGCAAAUCCGGGGUACUCUAUGCUGAGAUCUGAUAGCAAGCUGUACUUGUACAGCGAAGUGGUUGAUGCCAUGCUUCCAGGAAAAGUCUCUAAGCUUCAGUUACACAGGAAUCGUACCCGAAACCGACACAGGUGGUCAGGUCGAGUAGACCAAGGCGCUUGAGAGAACUCUGCUGAAGGAACUAGGCAAAAUGGUACCGUAACUUCGGGAGAAGGUACGCUGUUGUUGGUGAUGGAACUCGCUUCCUGAGCUGACGACAGCCGCAGAAACCAGGCCGCUGCAACUGUUUAUUAAAAACAUAGCACUCUGCAAACACGAAAGUGGACGUAUAGGGUGUGAUGCCUGCCCGGUGCUGGAAGGUUAAUUGAUGGGGUUAGCGUAAGCGAAGCUCUUGAUCGAAGCCCCAGUAAACGGCGGCCGUAACUAUAACGGUCCUAAGGUAGCGAAAUUCCUUGUCGGGUAAGUUCCGACCUGCACGAAUGGCAUAAUGAUGGCGGCGCUGUCUCCAGCAGAGGCUCAGUGAAAUCGAAAUCGCUGUGAAGAUGCAGUGUACCCGCGGCUAGACGGAAAGACCCCGUGAACCUUUACUGCAGCUUGACACUGAACUUUGACCUUACUUGUGUAGGAUAGGUGGGAGGCUUUGAAGCGGGAACGCUAGUUCCAGUGGAGCCGUCCUUGAAAUACCACCCUGGUAAUGUUGAGGUUCUAACUCUGUCCCGUGAUCCGGGACGAGGACCGUGUCUGGUGGGUAGUUUGACUGGGGCGGUCUCCUCCUAAAGAGUAACGGAGGAGUACGAAGGUGCGCUCAGCGUGGUCGGAAAUCACGCGUAGAGUAUAAAGGCAAAAGCGCGCUUAACUGCGAGACCCACAAGUCGAGCAGGUACGAAAGUAG
Molecule: ribosomal RNA, 1230 nt
Filed under: Acinetobacter baumannii 25935_9
Lineage: Bacteria; Pseudomonadati; Pseudomonadota; Gammaproteobacteria; Moraxellales; Moraxellaceae
Description: bacterial LSU rRNA
Rfam family: Bacterial large subunit ribosomal RNA
Source: RNAcentral